This 460-nucleotide ribosomal RNA is filed under the name uncultured bacterium. RNAcentral describes it as "partial 16S ribosomal RNA". It matches the Rfam family "Bacterial small subunit ribosomal RNA", at positions 338 to 795 of the family's 1533-position model. The record is from RNAcentral.
CCUACGGGAGGCAGCAGUGAGGAAUAUUGGUCAAUGGACGGAAGACUGAACCAGCCAUGCCGCGUGCAGGAAGACGGCUCUAUGAGUUGUAAACUGCUUUUGUACAAGGGUAAACCUGAAUACGUGUAUUCAGCUGAAAGUACUGUAUGAAUAAGGAUCGGCUAACUCCGUGCCAGCAGCCGCGGUAAUACGGAGGAUCCAAGCGUUAUCCGGAUUUAUUGGGUUUAAAGGGUGCGUAGGCGGAUUGAUAAGUGAGAGGUGAAAUGCCCGAGCUUAACUCGGGAACUGCCUCUAAUACUGUUGAUCUAGAGAGUAGAUGCGGUAGGCGGAAUGUGUGGUGUAGCGGUGAAAUGCUUAGAGAUCAUGCAGAACACCGAUUGCGAAGGCAGCUUACCAAUCUAUAUCUGACGUUGAGGCACGAAAGCGUGGGGAGCGAACAGGAUUAGAUACCCCUGUAGUC